GAUGAACGCUGGCGGCGUGCCUAAUACAUGCAAGUCGAACGGGGAGUAGCAAUACUCUUAGUGGCGAACGGGUGAGUAACGCGUUGGUACCUGCCCCGAAGCGGGGGAUAACAGACCGAAAGGUCCGCUAAUACCCCAUGUGCUCGGUAACGAGUAAAGGUGAAAACCACUUUGGGAGGGGCCUGCGUCCCAUCAGCUAGUUGGUAAGGUAACGGCUUACCAAGGCGAUGACGGGUAGGGGACCUGAGAGGGUGGCCCCCCACAAUGGAACUGAAACACGGUCCAUACACCUACGGGUGGCAGCAGUAGGGAAUAUUGGUAAUGGGCGCAAGCCUGAACCAGCAACGCCGCGUGUGCGAUGACGGCCUUCGGGUUGUAAAGCACUUUUGACUGGGACGAGGAAGGACGGUACCGGUCGAAUCAGCCUCGGCUAACUACGUG
This 441-nucleotide ribosomal RNA is filed under the name uncultured bacterium. RNAcentral describes it as "partial 16S ribosomal RNA". It matches the Rfam family "Bacterial small subunit ribosomal RNA", at positions 28 to 507 of the family's 1533-position model. The record is from RNAcentral.